Molecule: long non-coding RNA, 2484 nt
Organism: Homo sapiens (human)
Lineage: Eukaryota; Metazoa; Chordata; Mammalia; Primates; Hominidae
Exons: 2
Source: RefSeq, a predicted model, not a curated record
CUCCUGUUGUUGAGAGGGCCCCUUUGGUGUAUUCCAGGCUUUCUGGAGAUGACGUCCCCCUUCCCUGGAAUCUGAGAAAAGCCCUGAGCAUCCCAGGUCGCCCCCUCGCAGGGAUCUGGGCCACGAGGCCUUGGCCUGGUGUGUUGGGGGAAGUAGCUCUCUGCGUGCCCUUGGUGGUGUGCAUGUCUCUGGGACUGGGCUUAGGUGUCGCCUCCCUUCUCGGGUCACAGGAUGUCCUCCACUUGUGGCUCCGCACUGGGGCUUGGUAGAGUCCUCCGUGACAGCUCAGUAGUGCAGGCUGCGGGCCUGUCCGGCUAGUGUGGGAGGACUGGGUGCUCCUUCCAGCUGUGGGACUCGCAGAGGUGGCUGCGGCUCUCUGGGCUGCAUCAUCUGCAUAGCAGGAGCAUUCACCUUGGCCCUGCCUCCACACAGGGCCAUUCACCAGCCAUACAUCUCUGGCCAUUUACAAUCUCUUUUCUUCGGUUUUCCUCAGUGAAAAUGGACUCAUGGUCGUAUCAACCUCUUAGGGCUCCUGUGACGAUGAACUGAGUUAUGUAAAUUUAGCAAUCAGCUACCAUCAUGGCCCCAUCUUUCAGUGGAAUCAGACCAGGCCAGGGGUGCUGUCCUCCCCGCUCUCUACCACAACGAAUGUCUCUUAGCCGUUUACCAAAGCCCUCGGGCGCCAGAUGAGUGUAGGUCCUGCCGCAGAAAGGAAUUAGAGCCCAGUAGAAAUUAGGCAGAAGCAAGUUCAACUUCAUCAGCAUGUAGAAUUCUCUCCUAAAAUCACAGCCCACUCUGGAAAGGCCUUCUUCGUGGGGAGGGUUAUGGGAGGGUGGGCUGCAGGGUGGCCAUGAGACCAGCGUCCAGGGGUGAGGAUUUGCACUGGGAAAGGGUACGCGGCGCUCAGGGAGCUGCAGCAGAAACAGGCCUGAGAUCUGGGGUCCUGCGGCACCUGGGCACAGCAAGUGCCCUGCAGUCGCUCCUCCUGGCCCUCCGUGGCUGGCCUUGUCCCUGAGUGGGGUCAGCGGCCCUGAGGGAGAGGCAGCCAGAGUAGUGGGUGAUAUGGGGACAAGCCUGUAAUAGUCACUCCUUAUCAGCCUGGCCCAACGCGGCAGGCCUUUCUUGGGCUUUAUUUUGGUAAGGGUGAGGCUUUGUUUGAACUCACAUUCUCUGUUGUUCUGAGUAACCACACGUAGUGCCAAACCGAGAUGGACUUUGGUGGUCUGUGCCAACCUUUGGCUGAAGAACACACUUAGCCGAGCGGCUCCUUUUUUGGGUAGGAAAAUGUUCUUUGUGGCUGGCAAGUGCUGCCUUGAACUUCCUACUUACUUCAUUAGCAGAUUGUCAGGGGAGAUGUGUCAGCUAUCCUGGGACCCCUUGGCGGGGCGGGGGGGGCGGGGGCAGCCCCCUCCCCAGCUCUGUACUCUGGGGCCCUCACCCCUGAAUCCUGGGAAAGCUUAGCACCUAAGAGUAAUCCUGCCGGCUUAAGACCCUCCCCUGCUGGGGUUUCUUUUUAAGGACCCGUGUGACAAGGUGCUGAUGAAUCAACGUUAUCACCUCUGUCAGGAAUAAUAAGUAAAUUUUUUGAGAGUUUAUGAAAUGCUGGGAACUAAGUUAGCAUUUGCUUGCAUGAUCUCAUUAUAUCUGUAAGACAGCAUUUCUGAAACUACUUGCUACAACCCAUAGUAAAAACUAUAUGGUACGCCAUGACCCAGGACACACAUGUAUAAACAUCCCAUAAAACUGAAGCAAAAGUUCCCAGAACUCAUACAAAACCUUACUAAGUGUAUUGUACUGGGAUAUUUUCUAUUCUAUUUCAACGUUUGGAAAGGUCAUGACUCGCCAAACUGCUUUCAGGAUCCACUGUGGGCACAGGUCAAGAAACGGAGCCCUGGAGGCCUGCACUGGCAUCAGCCUCUUCUGUGUGGUGGGAAACUCAAGUUCAGGGUCAGGUGGUUCGUCCACGUUCCUGCAGCCUGCAGAUGGCAGAGCCAGGACCCCACGCCAUCUCCAGUCCAGUCUUUAUCAGCCUGGGAGGUGGGCAGGGCCCCAGGAUUAUCCCCCUUUCACAGAUGGUAAAAUCGAGGAAGGAGUUGAGCAGGAUCUUGGCCAGAGCCGUGUGUGUUCCAGAGCUGUGUGUGUGGCAGAGCCGUACCUUGAAGUUGGGUUUCCACCUCGGCCUUUCACAGACACCCAGGGACCCCCUCCAGGCCCUGGGUCCCUGAGGACUCACAGCGUCCUUGGGACAGGCUGGCUCCUGUAUGAACAAAUGCACCUGCCUGCAAAGCUGGUCUUCCCAGACUCCCUGGAAGGGGGAGCCCACACCCGGGUCCCCGUGCUGUGGCCUCCGUGGUGAAGCUGGAUGUUUCUCUGGAAUGCCACGUUUUAUGGUUGUUUUUUAAUAUGGAUUUUGCUUCAUCUUUCAUAAAACAACCACAUGUAUUUUAGUAUAAAAAUAAUAUCUUACUCUAUAUUUGGAUGAAA